RNAcentral lists this ribosomal RNA (484 nucleotides) under uncultured bacterium. Its description in RNAcentral is "partial 16S ribosomal RNA". It matches the Rfam family "Bacterial small subunit ribosomal RNA", at positions 30 to 507 of the family's 1533-position model. The record is from RNAcentral.
AUUGAACGCUGGCGGAAUGCUUUACACAUGCAAGUCGAACGGCAGCACGGGGGCAGCCCUGGUGGCGAGUGGCGAACGGGUGAGUAAUACAUCGGAACGUGCCCGGUCGUGGGGGAUAACGUAGCGAAAGUUACGCUAAUACCGCAUACGAUCAGAGGAUGAAAGCGGGGGACCUUCGGGCUUCGCGCGAUCGGAGCGGCCGAUGUCAGAUUAGGUAGUUGGUGGGGUAAAGGCCUACUAAGCCGACGAUCUGUAGCUGGUCUGAGAGGACGACAAGCCACACUGGGACGGAAACACGCCCCACACUCCUACCGGAGGCAGCGCGUGCAACUUUUAGCCAACGGGCGCACGCCUGAUCCGUCCUUUCCGCGUGCAGGACCCAGGCCUUCGGGUUUUCGACUGCUUUUGUACUGGUGUAAAAGGCUCUGGCUAAUACCUGGGGCUCGUGGCGGUACCGUAAGACUAAGCACCGGCUCACUACGUG